UCCAGCCCGUCCACAUCUGCUUUUCCCAACACGCUAAAGAUAUUUGCCGUUUUGGUUAUUAACCCAGUAUUUCCCUUAUCCGUAGAAGCGCUCCUUUGAUUGAUCCCUUUGAGAAAUUCCCCUUUUUGAAAUGUUAUCCCCGAAACAUCUGCUUCUUUUUCCCUAAUCUCAGCCUUUUCAAUCCCAAACAGAUUCAGAGCGUUAUUCAUGGCAAUUUUCGUUUCAGUAUUAAUGCGAGCCCUAGAAUUACGCCGUGACUUCCUCUCAACGAUCAUCCAGGGACCAAACCGCUCCAAUGGCUCCACCGCUUUGACCACCUCCAGUAAGCUUUCCAUCGCUGUGUUCAUUCCAUCGUCAGCAUUUUGUGAAUACCCCAUUUCUACGCACGUGGCCUUUGAAUGACCGAAUCUUCCACAAGGGAAACACACGAAUGGCAACGCUUCAAACUGAACCCUCUGCACCGCCCUGUUAAUCAAGAUCUGAGAUACCAAAGGCUUUAUCAAAUCAAUGCACACGACCGUUCUUUCAAAAUUUCCCCUCGACCCUUUGUCCGUUUGAAAAUCGAGCUUGGUGACCGUCCCAAUCAGACCUCUGAUUUCUUCUAAUAUUUGGCGCUUAUAGAGGAACCCCGAGAGACCCGGUAAUCUGACCCAAACCAUGGUGCUACUAGGAAAUGCUUGGAGAGGAUUAAACUCUGGAGUCCACGGUUGAACCGUGGGAUAUUGGCCAAGGACAAUCCAUGGACCCUGGGCUUCUAGAGACUGUGGAUCCUAUUAUGCAAAAUAGAGUAAGAAAUUUUCCGGCCAAGUAAUUUAACAACCACCGUGGUCGCCAUAUUUCGGAAGAGAAUUCGUUGGAUCCUCUCGGAAAAGUUGAUAGCGGAAACACCAUUAACCGUAGUUCUCACCACAUUUCCAUCUAGAAAUUCAAAAUCCUCGUCUCUACCAGAGUCAGGAGCCCCUCGACCCAGAACUUUGUCCCUCCAAGAGAUUUCCAGCGUCGGAGUAGAGUCCACAACCAUAUCAUUUUCCACACCAGAAUCCAAGUCCUUAAAAUGAACUUUUUUGGUAUUCCGAUCUCCGAUCAAGUCUUCCCUUUCUCCGUUCUCAGACAUUUUUAUGCAUAAUUGUUUUUAUCCAUAUUUUAUUUUACAUUUUUCACAUGAAUUAAUCUAUAUGAAUUAUCAUAUUAAAUUAAUUAAUUUAUCACAUAUAUUAAAUUCAAGUAAUCAAGUUAUAAAUUGAUGGUGUAUCAAAUUCAUAGUAAA
Molecule: long non-coding RNA, 1267 nt
Organism: Gossypium raimondii (Peruvian cotton)
Lineage: Eukaryota; Viridiplantae; Streptophyta; Magnoliopsida; Malvales; Malvaceae
Exons: 2
Source: RefSeq, a predicted model, not a curated record